GAUGAAGAACGUAGCGAAAUGCGAUACUUGGUGUGAAUUGCAGAAUCCCGUGAACCAUCGAGUCUUUGAACGCAAGUUGCGCCCGAAGCCACUAGGCCGAGGGCACGCCUGCCUGGGUGUCACACGUCGUUGCCCCCCCAUCUACUCCUUCGGGAUUGCGGGGGGGCGGAUGAUGGCCUCCCGUGCGCCUAGCCGCGCGGUUGGCAUAAAUACCAAGUCCUCGGCGACGCACGCCACGACAAUCGGUGGUUGCGAAACCUCGGUUGCCCGUCGUGUGCGUUCGUCGCGCAUCGAGGGCUCGAAAAAAUGCUCGGCUUCGGCUCGGCUUUCAACGCGACCCCAGGUCAGGCGGGGUUACCCGCUGAAUUUAAGCAUAUCAAUAAGCGGAGGA
Molecule: unclassified non-coding RNA, 391 nt
Filed under: soil metagenome
Description: partial contains 5.8S ribosomal RNA, internal transcribed spacer 2, and large subunit ribosomal RNA
Rfam family: 5.8S ribosomal RNA (bases 1-122)
Source: RNAcentral